GUGGCUGGAUGGUAUAAGAUCCAACAUUUUAAGAGGGGUCAUAGAUUCGAUCUCCUUCUCAAAAUCUUCCAAUAUAUAUAUAUAUAUAUAUAUAUAUAUAAAUUAUUGAGCAAAAAAUGCUAUGGACUGAGACGCAUCCCAGUUGUAGCCUCGAGUCUGACGUGACCAAAAAAUAAAACUAUGAUGUUUUAUUUUAUUUUCAUUUUAAUUUAUUUGGCUUUCGAUUAUGUAGCUUUGGGUCUCGAAGACAAAAGGGAGUUUGUAGCUUCAUUCCCAUUUCUAUUAUCUCAAUCUUCUUCUUCUCUCCCCUCCCCCCAAUUUCAAAUCGUGCGAACCCCUUCCCAUCUUCAAACCUACAAACCCCUCUCCAUUUUCAAACCGUGCGAACCCCUCCCCAUCAACACCGUGUGAACCCCUCCCCGUCACCAUUACCUGAAAUCUCCCCCAAGCUUAGCCUCUCCAUCUUCGUGCGAAUCUCUCUUCCCUACCAUGUGAGGCUCCUUACGUUUGGAUCUACGACGACUUAACGUUCGGACUACCAAAGAAAGGCCUGCUUUCCAGUGCAGAGGAUUGAUGCUUAAAGCAUAAAGGAUUUCAAAAUGCCCAUUUGGUUGCACAUUAUGUGUAUUGGGGAGAUGAUGUGCUUCUCUACACAAGAUAUUGCUUCUGAAAUUUGAAUUUCUAGUAUGAGUGUCAUUGCAGGGCAACAUGCAGGAGGAGCUCCCAGAAGACAAAACAAAGGUGAUGUCAAGAGAGUUUGCCUUGUUCAUAGAAUUUACUUGUGCAUAGGCAUUUUUUUCCAUCCAAUAUGGAUGCAAUGUAAUGUGUAACUAUAAUUUCAAGUUGUAACAAUGCACUUUGUAAACCGUGGGUUCCUUAAUUGUGUUUUCAUUCUUCUA
Carya illinoinensis is the source of this 899-nucleotide long non-coding RNA. RefSeq lists it as uncharacterized. The transcript has 2 exons. NCBI's taxonomy places the organism in Eukaryota, Viridiplantae, Streptophyta, Magnoliopsida, Fagales, Juglandaceae. The record is from RefSeq and is a predicted model, not a curated record.